ACAUAGCACAACUCUGCCAAGAAAACUAGGCCACAAGUCUGCAGGGCUGUGAGAAGCUCUGGGAAAAGCUUGCUGAGCAGGCGGAAGGCUGUGGUCCUGUCCCACCCGAAUGGGGAGUGACCCGCUUGACCUUUGAAUAUGACUCUGAACCCUUUGGGAAAGAACGGGAUGCAGCCAUCAUGAAGAUGGCCAAGGAGGCUGGUGUGGAAGUAGUAACCGAGAAUUCUCAUACCCUCUAUGACCUGGACAGGAUCAUUGAGCUGAAUGGGCAGAAGCCACCCCUUACAUACAAGCGCUUUCAGGCCAUCAUCAGCCGCAUGGAGCUGCCCAAGAAGCCAGUGGGCUCGGUGACCAGCCAGCAGAUGGAGAGCUGCAGGGCCGAGAUCCAGGAGAACCACGACGAGACCUACGGCGUGCCCUCCCUGGAGGAGCUGGGGUUCCCCACUGAAGGACUUGGUCCAGCUGUCUGGCAGGGAGGAGAGACAGAAGCUCUGGCCCGCCUGGAUAAGCACUUGGAACGGAAG
Molecule: small RNA, 524 nt
Filed under: Pongo abelii (Sumatran orangutan)
Lineage: Eukaryota; Metazoa; Chordata; Mammalia; Primates; Hominidae
Description: processed transcript
Source: RNAcentral